This 493-nucleotide ribosomal RNA is filed under the name uncultured Sphingobacteriales bacterium. RNAcentral describes it as "bacterial SSU rRNA". It matches the Rfam family "Bacterial small subunit ribosomal RNA", at positions 904 to 1382 of the family's 1533-position model. Lineage: Bacteria; Pseudomonadati; Bacteroidota; Sphingobacteriia; Sphingobacteriales. The record is from RNAcentral.
GCCAGCCCGCUCAGAACUCAAGGAAUUGACGGGGCCCGCACAAGCGGUGGAGCAUGUGGUUUAAUUCGAUGAUACGCGAGGAACCUUACCUGGGCUCAAAUGUAUGUUGACGUAUUCUGAAAGGGAUACUUCUUCGGACAAUAUACAAGGUGCUGCAUGGUUGUCGUCAGCUCGUGCCGUGAGGUGUCGGGUUAAGUCCCAUAACGAGCGCAACCCCUAUCAUUAGUUGCCAUCAGGUCAAGCUGGGGACUCUAAUGAAACUGCCUACGCAAGUAGUGAGGAAGGUGGGGAUGACGUCAAAUCAGCACGGCCCUUACGUCCAGGGCUACACACGUGCUACAAUGGCCGGUACAAAGGGCAGCUACCUGGUGACAGGAUGCUAAUCUCAAAAGCCGGUCUCAGUUCGGAUCGGAGUCUGCAACCCGACUGCGUGAAGUCGGAAUCGCUAGUAAUCGUGAAUCAGAAUGUCACGGUGAAUACGUUCCCGGGCCUC